This 419-nucleotide ribosomal RNA is filed under the name bacterium. RNAcentral describes it as "partial 16S ribosomal RNA". It matches the Rfam family "Bacterial small subunit ribosomal RNA", at positions 355 to 776 of the family's 1533-position model. The record is from RNAcentral.
UGGGGGAUAUUGCACAAUGGGCGAAAGCCUGAUGCAGCGACGCCGCGUGGGGGAUGAAGGCCUUCGGGUUGUAAACUUCUUUUGCUCUGAACAAGGCAUGCUAAUGGGUGUGUUGAGUGUAGGGGUUGAUUAGCGCCGGCUAACUACGUGCCAGCAGCCGCGGUAAUACGUAGGGCGCGAGCGUUGUCCGGAAUUAUUGGGCGUUAAGGGCUUGUAGGUGGCUGGUUGCGUCUGUCGUGAAAGCUCAUGGCUUAACUGUGGGUUUGCGGUGGGUACGGGCUGGCUUGAGUGCAGUAGGGGAGGCUGGAAUUCCUGGUGUAGCGGUGGAAAGGGCAGAUAUCAGGAGGAAUACCGGUGGCGAAGGCGGGUCUCUGGGCUGUUACUGACACUGAGGAGCGAAAGCAUGGGGAGCGAACAGG